RNAcentral lists this ribosomal RNA (3311 nucleotides) under Trichinella sp. T8. RNAcentral's name for it is "eukaryotic LSU rRNA". The stretch from base 825 to 3311 matches the Rfam family "Eukaryotic large subunit ribosomal RNA", at positions 1 to 2792 of the family's 3401-position model. Lineage: Eukaryota; Metazoa; Nematoda; Enoplea; Trichinellida; Trichinellidae. The record is from RNAcentral.
UUUUUCAUUUCUGUCAGGUUUGAACAACUGCUAUUGCACGCACAUCACAGUGGCGAGCAAGAUGAAUAAUUAAUGAUUCGUUAAGGCAUUAUCAAUCAAAUCUGAAGAAGAAAAAGAACAGCCAAACAUAACUGGAUUUAGUACAUCAAUAGCUAUCCUCUUUUCAAAUAAUAUACGUAUUUAUCAAAACAAUACACUGCAGCAAACUUAUCAGCAACGUACUUACUGCAAUGCACUUUCUUCAAAUAAGCAAUAUUUCCAAGAAAUUUUUACAAAAAGUGCGGCGUCUCCUGGCCAGUUAACAUUCGAAACAUAGAUGUUCGCAUUGUUUUCAUAUGUAUUUCGCCUACAGCUGUGGCCAACAUGGUUACCACUUUUUCAUGUGGAACAGCCACUGCACUUUGACCAUUGAUCUCAAUAAUGCGAUGGCCAACACGUAUACCACCCCUUUCAGCAAUGCCACCCCGAAGCAAACUGCAAAUUACACCAUUUUGCACGCUAAAACCAAGCUGAUAUUUCGUGUCCGGACGUUUGAUACGAACUUCUACAACUGGUGGCGUUUGAACAAUGGUAAUUUUGACGGCUGUCAGUGAACGAGCAUCCUUGAUAUGAUUCUGGCAUAUAUUCAAAGGCAAACCGACAAACGAGAUUCCAUUCAACGCGAUGAUGUGGUCUCCGAUGUUAAUCUUUUUACAUCUAGCUGCUGCACCUUCUGGCAACAUGUUCGCAAUCACCACCGUCGGCAACAUGCUUCCCCAUCCGGACUCAACAACUGCUACACCCAAAGGCUCGUCUUUCCGUUUCGGUAUAACAAUAUCUUUCUGAGUCUCUCUGUUAGAAAACAUUUCCAACUCAUCGCAAUAAAUUUCUUGGGAAUUCAAAACUUGCUGGUAAUCAAGCUCUUUGACAUAAGUCGGAUCGUCAAUUCCUCGAGAACGCAAAAAUUCCAUAUAUGCAACUUGAAAAGCUUGACCAAUCGACUGAGCUAUAAACUGCGCCUCUUCCGAUUCGAACACAUGACAAAUCAUCUUCGGCACUGCCAGAAUACCAUGUGAAGCAGUGAACCAAAAGUCAGGUUAAGGUGCCAGACAUUGGCGCUCAUGAAAUACCAGAAAAGGUGUUGGUCGAUAUAGACAGCAGGACGGUGGCCAUGGAAGUUGGAAUCCGCCAAGGAGUGUGUAACAACUCACCUGCCGAAUCGACUAGCCCUGAAAAUGGAUAGCGUUUGAGCGCCAGGCCCAUACCUGACCGUCUCAAUUACGCACUUUUUUUCGGAAAAGGUGUAAUGAACGUUGAGACGGGUAGGAAGGUCGCGACAGUGUUGCUUUGAAGAGUUUUGAGCGUGAGCUCGCUCGGAGCCGCUGUUGGUGCAGAUCUUGGUGGUAGUAGCAAAUAUUCAAGUGAGAACCUUGAAGGCUGAAGUGGAGCAAGGUUCCAUGUGAACAGCAGUUGGACAUGGGUCAGUCGAUCCUAAGAAAACGGCGAAAGCUUGUUCGAAUUUGCGACAUGAAUUGUAAGACUGUGUGUGUUUAUUGUGUGUGCAGUUGUCGUAUGUUUUCGAAAGGGAAUCCGGUUGAUAUUCCGGAACCGAGUAACGGAGACAAAGAGUAGCGCUUUAAUCUCUCUGUGGGGUUGGCGUUCAACUCAAUCGCGCGGUAACGCAAGCGAACUCGGAAAAUGACCGUCGUGAGUUUCGAAAAGAGUUUUCUUUUCUUUUUAAGGGACGCAUUCCCUGGAACCGGGUUGUCCGGAGAUAGGGAUUCUGGUAUCCAUAAAACGCCGACUUUUUCACGGUGUUCGGAGCGCUCUCGUCGGUACGUGAAAAUCCGAGCGACGCCUGGUAAAUCUCGUACUUGGUCGUACUGAUAUCCGCAGCAGGUCUCCAAGGUGAAUAGCCUCUGGCCGAUAGAAUAAUGUAGGUAAGGGAAGUCGGCAAAACGGAUCCGUAACUUCGGAACAAGGAUUGGCUCUAAGGGCUGGGCCGAUCGGGCUGAGGUUUCAAGCGUGCAGUGUAUGCUUGGCUGAGUUGUGUUGAGGACUUGUUCACUUGCCGCCGUUUGUUCGGUUGGUCUAGUGUAUUCGAGUCUGAAGCAGAGCUGGCCGACAGACCGGCACGUGCAGAACCUGAGCUGCGCGGCUGUCCGUUUACGUGUACAGACCGUUUCGGUCGGCAUUCAACAGCCAACUUAGAACUGGCACGGACACAAGGAAUCUGACUGUAUAAUUAAAACAAAGCAUUGCGAUGGCCGAUGAUCGGUGAUGACGCAAUGUGAUUUCUGCCCAGUGCUCUGAAUGUCAAAGUGAAGAAAUUCAAUCAAGCGCGGGUAAACGGCGGGAGUAACUAUGACUCUCUUAAGGUAGCCAAAUGCCUCGUCAUCUAAUUAGUGACGCGUAUGAAUGGAUCAACAAGAUUCCUUCUGUCCCUAUCUACUAUCUAGCGAAACCACAGCCAAGGGAACGGGCUUGGCAAAAUCAGCGGGGAAAGAAGACCCUGUUGAGCUUGACUCUAGUCUGACUCUGUGAAGAGACAUGAAAGGUGUAGCAUAGGUGGAGAUUGUCAAAUUGCCAUCGUUCGCGCGGUGGUCCGGUGAUCGCCAAUGAAAUACCACUACUUUGAUCGUUUCUUUACUUAUUCGGUAAAGCGAAAAAAUUGUGGCCAAUUUGGCGGUGUUUAUGUCGCUGUUGGUCAUUGUUUUCAUGUUAGAUUGAAGCUUUGUUUACAGCCGUCGCUUUGUGUCGCCAUUUGACGCAUUGUUGUACUGGGUUAUCCCGGUGUGUGGUGUAGUCAGUAUGGAUGAUCCGUUGCCCAGUUCUUUCCCAUCUGAUAUUGCCAGACAUCGUGGAAAUACCAACCAAACGGAAUCAGAUCAGACCAAUAAAUUCCAUCUCCUCGAUCUUUCAUCCAAUCUUGAGAGACUCUAAUUUGUAGCAGACCGCCGGUAUAUUUGCGCCACGCAUCAGGUUUCAUGUCUGUCUUGCUCAUGGUACGUGGAUUGAAUGAAAAUACGCCUCUGUUUGGAGAAUUUCUAGCAAUCGAGCCAACCUGUUCAAAGCUGUGACCAAGUACAUCUUCCCAAUAACCCCACAAUGGCGAUAGGUUUGAAGUGAUUCGCUCCGGAAACAGUGUCAGACGGGGAGUUUGACUGGGGCGGUACAUCUGUUAAACGAUAACGCAGGUGUCCUAAGGUAAGCUCAGCGAGGACAGAAACCUCGCUUAGAGUAAACGGGCACAAGCUUACUUGAUUUUGAUUUCCAGUACGAAUAGAAACCGCGAAAGCGUGGCCUAUCGAUCCUUUUGAUUGUGUAGAUUU